AUUGAACGCUGGCGGCAGGCCUAACACAUGCAAGUCGAACGAGUGGCGGACGGGUGAGUACUGUCUGGGCAACUGCCCGAUGGAGGGGGCUCACUACUGGAAACGGUAGCUAAUACCGCAUACCAUCGGAUGUGCCCAGAUGGGAUUAGCUAGUAGGGGGGGUAACGGCUCACCUAGGCGACGAUCCCUAGCUGGUCUGAGAGGAUGACCAGCCACACUGGAACUGAGACACGGUCCAGACUCCGACGGGAGGCAGCAGUGGGGAAUAUUUCACAAUGGGCGCAAGCCUGAGAGAGCCACGCCGCGUGUGUGAAGAAGGCCUUCGGGUGGUAAAGUACUAGCAGCGGGGAGGCGGGACCCGCAGAAGAAGCGCCGGCUAACUCCGUGCUAGCAGCCGCGGUAAUAC
This 406-nucleotide ribosomal RNA is filed under the name uncultured bacterium. RNAcentral describes it as "partial 16S ribosomal RNA". It matches the Rfam family "Bacterial small subunit ribosomal RNA", at positions 29 to 526 of the family's 1533-position model. The record is from RNAcentral.